GACGAACGCUGGCGGCGUGCCUAAUACAUGCAAGUCGAACGCUGAAGGAGGAGCUUGCUUCUCUGGAUGAGUUGCGAACGGGUGAGUAACGCGUAGGUAACCUGCCUGGUAGCGGGGGAUAACUAUUGGAAACGAUAGCUAAUACCGCAUAAGAGUAGAUGUUGCAUGACAUUUGCUUAAAAGGUGCAAUUGCAUCACUACCAGAUGGACCUGCGUUGUAUUAGCUAGUUGGUGGGGUAACGGCUCACCAAGGCGACGAUACAUAGCCGACCUGAGAGGGUGAUCGGCCACACUGGGACUGAGACACGGCCCAGACUCCUACGGGAGGCAGCAGUAGGGAAUCUUCGGCAAUGGACGGAAGUCUGACCGAGCAACGCCGCGUGAGGGAAGAAGGUUUUCGGAUCGUAAAGCUCUGUUGUAAGAGAAGAACGAGUGUGAGAGUGGAAAGUUCACACUGUGACGGUAUCUUACCAGAAAGGGACGGCUAACUACGUG
Molecule: ribosomal RNA, 495 nt
Filed under: uncultured bacterium
Lineage: Bacteria
Description: partial 16S ribosomal RNA
Rfam family: Bacterial small subunit ribosomal RNA
Source: RNAcentral